AACGAACGCUGGCGGCAGGCCUAACACAUGCAAGUCUAACGCCCUAGCAAUAGGGAGUGGCAGACGGGUGAGUAACACGUGGGAACGUGCCCUUCGGUUCGGAAUAACUCAGGGAAACUUGAGCUAAUACCGGAUACGUGCGAGAGCAGAAAGAUUUAUCGCCGAAGGAUCGGCCCGCGUCCGAUUAGCUAGUUGGUGAGGCAAUGGCUCACCAAGGCGACGAUAGGUAGCUGGUCUGAGAGGAUGACCAGCCAUACUGGGACGGAAACACGGCGACGACGCCUACGGGAGACAGCAGUGGGGAAUAUUGGACCAUGGGCGCAAGCCUGAUCCAGCCAUGCCACGUGAGUGAUGAAGGCCCUAGGGUUGUAAAGCUCUUUCGCCAGGGACGAUAAUGACGGUACCUGGAUAAGAAGCCCCGGCUAACUUCGUGCCAGCCGCCGCCGUAA
Molecule: ribosomal RNA, 449 nt
Filed under: uncultured bacterium
Lineage: Bacteria
Description: partial 16S ribosomal RNA
Rfam family: Bacterial small subunit ribosomal RNA
Source: RNAcentral